RNAcentral lists this ribosomal RNA (440 nucleotides) under uncultured bacterium. RNAcentral describes it as "partial 16S ribosomal RNA". It matches the Rfam family "Bacterial small subunit ribosomal RNA", at positions 338 to 795 of the family's 1533-position model. The record is from RNAcentral.
CCUACGGGGGGCAGCAGUGGGGGAUAUUGCACAAUGGGGGGAACCCUGAUGCAGCGACGCCGCGUGGGUGAAGGAGCGUUUCGGCGCGUAAAGCCCUAUCGGCAGGGAAGAAGAUGACGGUACCUGGCCAAGAAGCCCCGGCUAACUACGUGCCAGCAGCCGCGGUAAUACGUGGGGGGCAAGCGUUAUCCGGAUUUACUGGGGGUAAAGGGGGCGCAGACGGGAAUGCAAGCCAGGAGUGAAAGCCCGGGGCCCAACCCCGGGACUGCCCUUGGAACUGCAUGGCUGGAGUACAGGAGGGGCAGGCGGAAUGCCUAGUGUAGCGGUGAAAUGCGUAGAUAUUAGGAGGAACACCGGUGGCGAAGGCGGCCUGCUGGACUGUGACUGACGUUGAGGCCCGAAGGCGUGGGGAGCAAACAGGAUUAGAUACCCCGGUAGUC